UAUGGAAAGAUUGUAGAGAAAAAUAAUAAUAACAAUAAUAAAUAAAUAGAGAAAGAAAUGUUUUUGAAUAAUUUUUUUUUUUUGAGAGGUACGUAGCAUGCUACCCGCUUCGUUUAUUUCAUUUAGAAAUAAAAUUAGCUAGAAAUGUGAAUCAAUUAGGAUUCGAACUUAGAAUCUCAGGUACGAAUUUAGGAUCUCGGGUAUAAAUUAUCAAGCUUUUCGCCACUUGUGUUAGGGACGGUCGGUAAUAAAAGAAAUUAUUGAAUUACAAC
RNAcentral lists this long non-coding RNA (272 nucleotides) under Ananas comosus (pineapple). RNAcentral describes it as "long non-coding RNA (ACOM_LNC033262)". Lineage: Eukaryota; Viridiplantae; Streptophyta; Magnoliopsida; Poales; Bromeliaceae. The record is from RNAcentral.